AGAGUUUGAUCCUGGCUCAGAUUGAACGCUGGCGGCAUGCUUUACACAUGCAAGUCGAACGGUAACAGGCCUUCGGGCGCUGACGAGUGGCGAACGGGUGAGUAAUGCAUCGGAACGUGCCCAGUCGUGGGGGAUAACGCAGCGAAAGCUGCGCUAAUACCGCAUACGAUCUGUGGAUGAAAGCGGGGGACCGUAAGGCCUCGCGCGAUUGGAGCGGCCGAUGUCAGAUUAGGUAGUUGGUGGGGUAAAGGCUCACCAAGCCAACGAUCUGUAGCUGGUCUGAGAGGACGACCAGCCACACUGGGACUGAGACACGGCCCAGACUCCUGCGGGAGGCAGCAGUGGGGAAUUUUGGACAAUGGGGGCAACCCUGAUCCAGCAAUGCCGCGUGCAGGAAGAAGGCCUUCGGGUUGUAAACUGCUUUUGUACGGAACGAAAAGGCUCUGGCUAAUACCCGGGGCACAUGACGGUACCGUAAGAAUAAGCACCGGCUAACUACGUGCCAGCAGCCGCGGUAAUACGUAGGGUGCAAGCGUUAAUCGGAAUUACUGGGCGUAAAGCGUGCGCAGGCGGUGCUGUAAGACAGGCGUGAAAUCCCCGGGCUCAACCUGGGAAUUGCGCUUGUGACUGCAGUGCUGGAGUGCGGCAGAGGGGGAUGGAAUUCCGCGUGUAGCAGUGAAAUGCGUAGAUAUGCGGAGGAACACCGAUGGCGAAGGCAAUCCCCUGGGCCUGCACUGACGCUCAUGCACGAAAGCGUGGGGAGCAAACAGGAUUAGAUACCCUGGUAGUCC
Molecule: ribosomal RNA, 791 nt
Filed under: uncultured bacterium
Lineage: Bacteria
Description: bacterial SSU rRNA
Rfam family: Bacterial small subunit ribosomal RNA
Source: RNAcentral